UGCGAGUCGACACAGCAAUGUGUGGCAUACGGCUCAGUAACACGUAGUCAACAUGCCCAGGGGACGUGGAUAACCUCGGGAAACUGAGGAUAAACCGCGAUAGGUCACUACUUCUGGAAUGGGUAAUGACCCAAACCUACAUGGCCCCUGGAUUGGACUGCGGCCGAUCAGGCUGUUGGUGAGGUAAUGGCCCACCAAACCUGUAACCGGUACGGGCUCUGAGAGGAGGAGCCCGGAGAUGGGCACUGAGACAAGGGCCCAGGCCCUAUGGGGCGCAGCAGGCGCGAAACCUCUGCAAUAGGCGAAAGCUUGACAGGGUUACUCUGAGUGAUUUCCGUUAAGGAGAUCUUUUGGCACCUCUAAAAAUGGUGCAGAAUAAGGGGUGGGCAAGUCUGGUGUCAGCCGCCGCGGUAAUACCAGCACCCCGAGUGGUCGGGACGUUUAUUGGGCCUAAAGCAUCCGUAGCCGGUUCCACAAGUCUUCCGUUAAAUCCACCUGCUUAACAGAUGGGCUGCGGAAGAUACUAUGGAGCUAGGAGGCGGGAGAGGCAAGCGGUACUCGAUGGGUAGGGGUAAAAUCCGUUGAUCCAUUGAAGACCACCAGUGGCGAAGGCGGCUUGCCAGAACGCGCUCGACGGUGAGGGAUGAAAGCUGGGGGAGCAAACCGGAUUAGAUACCCGGGUAGUCCCAGCUGUAAACGAUGCAGACUCGGUGAUGAGUUGGCUUUAUGCCAACUCAGUGCCGCAGGGAAGCCGUUAAGUUUGCCGCCUGGGGAGUACGGUCGCGAGACUGAAACUUAAAGGAAUUGGCGGGGGA
Molecule: ribosomal RNA, 815 nt
Filed under: uncultured crenarchaeote
Lineage: Archaea; Thermoproteati; Thermoproteota
Description: bacterial SSU rRNA
Rfam family: Archaeal small subunit ribosomal RNA
Source: RNAcentral